UGUGUGUAUUUGGAUCUUACAACUUAUUUGUCACUUUGCCUGAACCCAGCUGUGGACAUGACUAUGGCCAGCACCAGCAGCAUAUUUAGCUAUUGCAGUGCUAGCAGGAAGUUGGGAAAUGAAUGUCUCUUUGGAACUUUAUUAAAACAAUGGAUCUGGAAAAUAAUUCUUGUGGAUUUAUAAACAUUCUUACAAAAAGAAUGAGAUAUGGAGCGAUAUUUUGAGAUAAAGCUAAUGCUUUUGAGCUUGCUCUUCCAUGCCUAGGGGGUGUAACACAUAUGCCAUUGCUCCAGCUCUGUAAGUCCUGAAUGGGAAGAUUCAACCCCACAGCUGUGAAUGGAAGAGGUAGAACUGAAACAUGGCCCAGGCUGUGGAAAACACUGAAAACCCCUGACUUUGUAAAUCAAUAUCAAUCAAUGCCCUGCAAAGUACAUCAUAAAUCUGGAUGUUCAAGAGAGAUAACCCUGAGCUGGGGGAAGAUUUGUUUCAUGGCUGGAGACCCAGACCUCCAGUUUCCCAAGGAGAAAGCAGGUCUCUAACUGCUGUGCUUCCUUCCAUGAAGAAGUGAAUUUCUUUGUUGCAGACACCCUGCUGCUGCUGCACUUCCUAAGGUGAAGUCCCCGUUCUCAGAAAUGGGGUGCUCUGAAUGCCACUGUACAGCAGCAUUCACAUUGAAGUCCUUCCAACACUACAGCAUUCACCUUUGCUUUAUGGUUUUAUUCAUGGUGAUGGAAACACUUAAUUCCACAAUAGCAUAUGGAUUGACUUUUUUUUUUUUUUUU
Molecule: long non-coding RNA, 782 nt
Organism: Oenanthe melanoleuca
Lineage: Eukaryota; Metazoa; Chordata; Aves; Passeriformes; Muscicapidae
Exons: 4
Source: RefSeq, a predicted model, not a curated record